UGCUGUGUGAAGACAAGAAUGUGCCCU
This 27-nucleotide non-coding RNA is filed under the name Homo sapiens (human). Lineage: Eukaryota; Metazoa; Chordata; Mammalia; Primates; Hominidae. The record is from RNAcentral.